UCCCGGCCGCCCGCCGACCGCGCGCGGGGCUCCGGCGCUCCCAUCCGGGCGCGGGCGCAGAGGGCUGCUGGUGCUCGGGAGAUGCGUUAAAAUAAUAAAAGAGCUAUAUGAUGCUUGUCACAGCUGCUGAUCUUAAUAAGGGGGAGACAGUUGAAAAAGAGAAGAUAUUAAUAAACUAAUGCAAGCAAAGAUGCGGUUGAAAUGAGAAAGGAAAUAUAACAAAGUGCCAUGGGAAUUCAAAUGAGAGAGAUUUAAGACCAUGAGACUUAAGGCAUCUCGUCUGAUCUUUGAAACACUAAUUUAUUUGGAGUAGACCGAGAAAAGACACUCUGCACACAACCAAAAGCACGGAAAAAGUCACGGAGUGUGAGCAAGAGUGGGCUGUGGUGUAGCUGCAGAAACUACCUUAGUCAGCACCGGGGAAGAAUUGACAGCACAGCUGACUGGGGCGCUUGACCAAGAGGCUCCCUGGAGGGCCUCUGUCUCCAGGAUUCUCAACGAAAAUUCAGCUCUUCCCGCACUCGUCCCCCACACUGGGCCACCAGAGGACCAGGCUGUGACGUGGUCAUUUUACUGUCAAACCUCUGGUACCAAAGAGAUGCUCAAAACAUAGAUUUUGCAUCAAUGAAAGCAAAGUGGACAGUGUUGGGGCCUUGGGUGAAAACCUGCAUAGACAGCUUUAAACACUCAACAAAGGCUGAACAGUCUUCAGUGGGGAGUGAUAAUUCAGGAAAUCUGGGGAAGAUUUGAUGACACUAAGAGCCUGUUUAGGAGGAAUGAUCAAGGAGGAAGGCUUGAUUGCCUUAAGGGUUGGAUUUCUAAGUAGUUCCUUGAGGCUCCAAAAUUCUAUGAUUGACAGAAGGGGAAACUGGGAUCUAUUGCAUUAAUUAGGAAAGGAAUGAAGCUUGGAGCUGAUAGAUUUUCUGCAUUGGGCAGCAAGAACAGGAGGGCACAUUGCAUGUCGUUACCACCACAUAACGAAGAGCUGGAACUACUCCUAGCUCCUCUUAAUGGGACUUAGUAAUACUUG
This is a long non-coding RNA of Heterocephalus glaber (naked mole-rat), 1030 nucleotides long. NCBI's taxonomy places the organism in Eukaryota, Metazoa, Chordata, Mammalia, Rodentia, Bathyergidae. The record is from Ensembl.